RNAcentral lists this ribosomal RNA (241 nucleotides) under uncultured Actinomycetales bacterium. RNAcentral describes it as "partial 16S ribosomal RNA". It matches the Rfam family "Bacterial small subunit ribosomal RNA", at positions 89 to 334 of the family's 1533-position model. The record is from RNAcentral. Lineage: Bacteria; Bacillati; Actinomycetota; Actinomycetes; Actinomycetales.
ACUCGAGUGGCGAACGGGUGAGUAACACGUGGGUGAUCUGCCCUGCACUUCGGGAUAAGCUUGGGAAACUGGGUCUAAUACCGGAUAGGAGCCAUCUUUAGUGUGGUGGUUGGAAAGUUUUUCGGUGUAGGAUGAGCUCGCGGCCUAUCAGCUUGUUGGUGGGGUAGUGGCCUACCAAGGCGGCGACGGGUAGCCGGCCUGAGAGGGUGACCGGCCACAUUGGGACUGAGAUACGGCCCAG